Molecule: non-coding RNA, 3960 nt
Organism: Nothobranchius furzeri (turquoise killifish)
Lineage: Eukaryota; Metazoa; Chordata; Actinopteri; Cyprinodontiformes; Nothobranchiidae
Source: RefSeq, a predicted model, not a curated record
AGCAGGGGGAGGGGGGAGAUGGCUGAAGCAGAAACUACCGUUGUUAAAAGAAAUGUGUUUAACUUUGAAAAUGUGGGCACAAUUUUAAUUGUCAAAAACUCCAGCGAACCAUUAGUUCAUUUUGCUCAAAUAGAAAUAGAGGCCUGCCUCUAAUACUGGCCCUCCUUCCAAUAAAGGCCUGGAGCUUGAUAAGCUUGAGUCAAAUACAGGCCCGGGCCUGUAUUAGAGGAUUUACGGUAUAUUUGAUCUUGAUGGUGAAACUAAAGGCGUUUAACACUGAACAACUAACAUGAAUGCGGCUUCUGAGAGCUAGCUAAUAUCAGCUAAAACUGUGUUCUGCUGCUGCUGCUGCUGCUCACCUUCCUUCUUGAAAAACCUAGUCAAUACUUGCUUCUGUUCAAUUAACUUUUUCUCCUUCUUUUCUUUUCUUUUCUGGAAGCCAGAUUUCCCUUUCUUGGGAAAAGACAUGACUGACUCUCCUGCCUCCAGCUCUGGCUGUCGGCAUCUGCGAUGUCUCACAGCUGUUCAUGGGUCGUGCAGCCCCUGGCCGCUGGUGUGGUCUAAACCACUUUGCGCAUUUUUAAGGGGUGAUAGAUGCCUCAGAGAUUAUUCAGUUAUUAUUUUAAGACGAAAUUCUGUUUCUUAACCUCUUUAUCCAGGUAAAGGGAAGUUUAUUAAGACAUUAAGUAAGUUGGGGGGAAAAACAACAACAAUAAAACAUUUUUAUUCAAAGCUGUCUCAGGGCCCCUCCCUGCAGUGGGCCCUGGGUAAACGGUACCCUUCCCCCCCCCAGUCCGACGCCCCUGACUGGGACCAAAAUUAGGCCCUGGCAUUUUUAUGAACCGUCGGCCCUCGGCAGGGGAGUUUGCUGCUUGCGACCCGUCUAUCCCGUCAUACAGUUAAAUCAUGUUUUUACCAACUAAGACGCAUCUCGAAACUAAAGCACAUCCUGAGUGUCCGUCUUCUGAAAUCCGUGGUCCACACUUUCAUCACUUCAAGGCUGGAUUACUCUAACUCCUGCUUAUACGGCAUCAGUAAAGCAGCUCUUUCUAGACUUCAGCUGGUCCAGAAUUCAGCAGCUUGGUUGCUGACUGGAGCUGACAGAAGACAACACAUUUCACCAAUUCUGAAAUCUCUCCACUGGUUCCCUGUGCAGUUCAGGAUAAAUUUCAAAAUUAUGCUUCUGACUUACAAAUCCUUGAACCAUCAAGCUCCUCCAUAUCUGUGUGAACUUGUCCAUUACUACAACCCGCCGCGUGCUCUCAGGUCUGAAGAUGAGCUCCUCCUAGCUGUUCCGAAUCAUAGACUGUACAUAUACUGGACAAACGGAUUCCAUUGGCUUCAAUAACACGUUUGUUGUCUAUAAUGGGAGGUGGCCACCACCGCCAUUUUGACCGUGUCACAGGUUCCGUCCAGCCCAGACAAUUCCAUAAAAGGGAAGAGAGGAGGCGCUGAGGGUGUGGCUGUAAGGCUGGGCUCGAGUGACGACACCCAGGCGAACUAGCUACGAGCUAACCUGAAGCUAACCCUGGCUAACCCAAAGCUAAAGCGGAGGUGUGAGCCGAGCUAACGGAUGUAGCCACCUAGCUUCAACCCAACCGGAGCUAACUGGAACACCCAUCGACCUGAACCUCACACGGAGUUUAGGUGGAGGUUUUCUGCGCCUGUUCGUGAGAAGUACCUGUAUUAAAAAAGUUUUAAAUCGCCAUUUGGAUCAUUGGGGACAGCUGAGUGAGGCGUGGUGCCCAGAGAGCUGCAGAGACAACCUUGGCCUCCCUGACGUCUGUGUCUCCUGGUUCGGUUGGGGCGGACCAUCGACAUACAUACAUGUGCCGAUACUGUGCCCUGUUUUAUAAAAUGUAGUGUUAAAAAUAAAUGUUUUUGCUCAAUUACUGGAAUUUCUUUGGUUAAGACAAAAGUGAGGAAUAAUCAUUUACAAGUUAUUUGUACAACAGGCCCAUUUUAAAUCCCAACAGUUUCUUAGCAGCCAAUAGAAAUGUGUUCUUUACUUGGUUUGAAAAUCUUACUAAAAUAAACUUGAGUGCCGUAUUGCAAAACCCAAUCAUACUUGUUAUGUAAACAUUAGCUUUGAAGAUAUUUUUUACAGAUAUAUAUUUGUGUGCAACAAAAACCAAACUUAAAUAAUUUGUCAUUCUUUAUUGAAAAACAACAAAAUACAGGUAUACAGAAGUGUGGGAAAAUGAUAAUGUGAAAGUAUUGCACUAUAAAUGAAGUGAGAUGAGAUGAAGGUGAGAUGAAGGUGGACGCCAGCGGGCUGGACGCCGGACGAGGAAACCUGGAGACGGAUCGCUCAGACAGGAAGGGAAGAGCUUCCUCUUACCUUGAUGGAAUUAAAGAUAGCCGUCGUCUGAACGCCCAACCGUACGGUCUGAGGUCAAAGGUCACAGGAAACACACACCAGUCAGCAGUCAUACAGAUGCAUAAAGAUAACUGUAGCCAUGGCAACCAGCUGACAUGUCCCCACUUUCACCAGCACCUGGUGCCUGCCAGGUCACCUGAAUUCCUGUGUGAUGUCAGCACGGUCGGCCGUGACUGCUGCCAUCAGAGGUGACCUCUGAUCAGCUGAAUGAACUCACCUUCCAGGGUGACGCCGUGUUAGAGUCGGCUUCAUCCUGUAAACAAACAAACAAACAAAUGAGUGGUAACAAAAACACCACGUCUGGUUCUGGUGGAGGCGGAGGACAACAUGCACCUUUCCAGGAGCAGAACCCAGAUGUUCUUGUUGCUACAAACAGAGACGAGCAGAGUUAAACCAGGAAGUGAGAGGGACCAGCUGCUGCAGACAGGUGACGCUCACCUGAGCCUGAACCAUAGGAGCCUCCUCAGCCAUCAGACCUUCUGACUCCAGUUCAGAUGCCACCUUGUUGAUGUCCCUCAGGCGGGACUCGUUGGCCUUCAGGUCCUGCAGGACAAAAGCACCUGCUGAUUACCUUGUUGCUGUCGGGUUAACAGGUCUGGUGUUAGAACGUGGUGGAUAAGAAUGUUCUGACGGGCCGAGGGUUCUGAACUCACCCUGCAGGACUGGGCCUGCUCCUUCAGGGCCUGGAUGCUGCUGCCGUAAGCCGACAGGUCCGACAUCAGGGCCUCGUGCUUCUUCAGGAGAGCCUGUGGAGCAGAACAUCAGAACCUUCAGCUCGUCUGACACAAGUGGAGCUUUCUCGCAGCGAUGGUCCAAUCGGAUCCGCCACUGUAAAACAAACCCUGCUCAGUUCACCGCAGACGCAGCUCUGCGGGUGUUUAGUGGAAAAGCGUGAGCCUUCUGCCGGCUGCCACGUGUCAUGGCUGCUCUGCAGCGGGAACACACAUCACAGCUUGUAAACCGUUUGAAAUAAGAGCGACGGGAACACGUUUGUCAUCACUUCCUGUGCGAGGCCAGCACUUCUACCCCUAACCCAUGAGACGCUCAAACGAGCAACGACGUCUGGUAGACAACCGAAGGAAAUGACAAAUACAGAAACACUAAUUAUGAAGGACUGGAAAGAGAGCAAAGAAAAGCGAUUGGAGUUUCUCAGGAAGGGACUUCCAUACCUCGGCCGAGUCCUCGUCUUUCCCUUAGUCUGGACUUCCAACGAUGGGCUCCUUCUCCCUCAUCCAGGACUCGGCCUCAUUAGCAUCCGCAAAGUACUGCUGGGCCUGCAGAGAGUCCUCCAGGUCCUGCCUCCUCUGGGACGCCUUGGCCUUCAGCGUGUCCCAACGUCCAUGAAGCUCCCACAGUUUAGUCUUCACUUCCUCACCAGCGAAGUGACCUGGACCCAAAAAAAGUGAGCCAGAACCUGCAGACACCUCAGAAACAUGUCAGGACCAGACCUGCUCUACCUUCUUCCACCAUGGUCUCUCCUUUCUGGGUGACAGCCUUGAUGCGAGGUUCAUGACCUGUGAUCUAAGCCUGCAGAGCCUGGUGCUUCUUCAGCAGGUUCUGGACACCAAUCAGGUCCUUCC